CUUUACAGGAAGUGUUUAUGGAAGGCUGUGCAAGUCACAUGCAGGGAGGUGUGACUAGGGUUGAUAAACAAAGGGAUUUAACUCCUAAAUGGCAGAGGAUUGAGCAGAGAGGCUGCAGGGGCAUGUUCUAGACACCAAAACUGCUUCAUUAAGUUAAGUUGUUCAGGUGACUAUAAUGUCCCUUUAAAUAUCCUUUAUAUGUCUUUAAGGCAUAAAUUAUCUGCAAAUUAAUAUUACAUACAAAAAUGCAUGUUAUGGGUGUUCCCAUGAUUAAU
Molecule: non-coding RNA, 275 nt
Organism: Pelobates cultripes (western spadefoot toad)
Lineage: Eukaryota; Metazoa; Chordata; Amphibia; Anura; Pelobatidae
Source: the annotation of a GenBank genome assembly